Non-coding RNA from Aegilops tauschii subsp. strangulata, 861 nucleotides. The record is from RefSeq and is a predicted model, not a curated record. NCBI's taxonomy places the organism in Eukaryota, Viridiplantae, Streptophyta, Magnoliopsida, Poales, Poaceae.
UAGGUAAGUAUGGGGAAUCCACAAAGCAAAUCUGCGGAACAUACAACAGCGUCAGGUGUACCUAGAGAUGGGCUGACACUUGAACCGUCUGGACAACCGGUUCUUCCGGAUAAUGAACUUGUGGGUACUGAAGGUGUAGGAUAUCAGAUGGCUGGGACAAACGUUGUUGAUAAUCACCCUAUUAGUCCAGGAAUGAGGUUGUGCGGAUAGAGUACUCAUCAUUUUAUUCUCUUAAGUUCGUGACUUCAAUCUCAGUUACUUGUAUGAACCAUGCUCCAGGCCACUCGAUACCUGAACAGACCGCAGACCCGGUUGUUCCCCAACCCACUGAUGGUGAUAUCACAUGUGUUCAGUGGCCUCCCGAUCUGAACUCAGGUGAGCAAAAAACAUAUUGAAAAGGAGACCCGGCAAUCUCGGUUAUUUAUCAUGCUUAUAGAGGUUGUGUUGCAGACAUUCAAGAACAGUCUAAGAACAAUAACAUUUAGCUUUUGUUUUGUUCCAGAUGUUCUUGAUGUGUCUCCUAUUGAUGGAGGAAUACACCUAUACACUAUGUCAACUGCUCAAGAUUUAUCCCAAACCGCUCAACAUCCGAGCACAUGACUACAGGAUCUUUCGAGAAUGUCACCAAACAAACUAAAAAAGGUAUCUUAUCUGAUGAAAAAAGGGAGCAGAUAAACGCCAAGAGGCGAGCUAAUUAUCGGCGGAAGAAAGAGGAGGAAGCAAAGAAACUUGAGCAUGAAAGUCAAGCUUACCUUUCAACAUCUGAUCAGUCCAUCACUGAACAGACCGCAGUUGUUGUUGUUCCUCAACCCACUGAUGGUGAUGUCACAUGUGUACCGCGGCCUUCCGAACUGAACUUAG